GGAUGCGAUCAUACCAGCACUAACACAUCGGAUCCCAUCAGAACUCCAAAGUUAAGCGGGCUUGGGAGAGAGUAGUACUAGGAUGGGUGACCCCCUCGGAGAUCCUCGUGUUGCAUCCC
Molecule: ribosomal RNA, 119 nt
Organism: Solanum stenotomum
Lineage: Eukaryota; Viridiplantae; Streptophyta; Magnoliopsida; Solanales; Solanaceae
Source: RefSeq, a predicted model, not a curated record